Molecule: ribosomal RNA, 431 nt
Filed under: uncultured Pelagibacteraceae bacterium
Lineage: Bacteria; Pseudomonadati; Pseudomonadota; Alphaproteobacteria; Candidatus Pelagibacterales; Candidatus Pelagibacteraceae
Description: bacterial SSU rRNA
Rfam family: Bacterial small subunit ribosomal RNA
Source: RNAcentral
AAUGUACGCUGGCGGCACGCCUAACACAUGCAAGUCGAACGAGGUAGCAAUACCUAGUGGCAGACGGGUGCGUAACAUGUGGGAAUCUGCCUUUUGGUUCGGAACAACACGGGGAAACCUGUGCUAAUACCGGAUAAGUCCUCACGGAGAAAGAUUUAUCGCCGAAAGAUGAGCCCGCACUUGAUUAGCUUGUUGGUAAGGUAAAAGCUUACCAAGGCUACGAUCAAUAGCUGAUUUGAGAGGAUGAUCAGCCACACUGGGACUGAGACACGGCCCAGACUCCUACGGGAGGCAGCAGUGGGGAAUCUUGCACAAUGGAGGAAACUCUGAUGCAGCGAUGCCGCGUGAGUGAAGAAGGCCCUUGGGUUGUAAAGCUCUUUUGUCGGGAAAGAUAAUGACAGUAGCAGGUAAAGAAACCCCGGCUAACUCCG